UACGUAGGGUGCAAGCGUUGUCCAGAAUUAUUGGGCGUAAAGAGCUCGUAGGCGGUUUGUCGCGUCUGCUGUGAAAACUGGAGGCUCAACCUCCAGCCUGCAGUGGGUACGGGCAAACUAGAGUGCGGUAGAGGAGAUUGGAAUUCCUGGUGUAGCGGUGAAAUGCGCAGAUAUCAGGAGGAACACCAACAGCGAAGGCAGAUCUCUGGGACGUUACUGACGCUGAGACGCGAAAGCGUGGGGAGCAAACAGG
RNAcentral lists this ribosomal RNA (253 nucleotides) under uncultured bacterium. RNAcentral's name for it is "partial 16S ribosomal RNA". It matches the Rfam family "Bacterial small subunit ribosomal RNA", at positions 524 to 776 of the family's 1533-position model. The record is from RNAcentral.